AGAGUUUGAUCCUGGCUCAGAACGAACGCUGGCGGCGCGGAUUAGGCAUGCAAGUCGCGCGAGAAAGGGGUCUUCGGAUCCUGAGUAAAGCGGCGAACUGGUGAGUAACAGGUGGGUAAUGUGCCCUGAAGUGGGGGAUAACACCGGGAAACCGGUGCUAAUACCGCAUAUGACUUUUCGGACCCCGGUCCUUAAAGUUAAAGCAGCAGUGCGCUUCAGGAUCAGCCCGCCCCCGAUUAGCUAGUUGGUGAGGUAAUGGCUCACCAAGGCUCCGAUCGGUAGCUGGUCUGAGAGGAUGGUCAGCCACACUGGGACUGAGAUACGGCCCAGACUCCUACGGGGGGCAGCAGUCUAGAGGCUUCGGCAAUGGGGGCAACCCUGACCGAGCGACGCCGCGUGUGGGAUUGAAGGCCUUC
Molecule: ribosomal RNA, 416 nt
Filed under: uncultured bacterium
Lineage: Bacteria
Description: bacterial SSU rRNA
Rfam family: Bacterial small subunit ribosomal RNA
Source: RNAcentral